CCUACGGGUGGCAGCAGUGGGGAAUUUUCCGCAAUGGGCGAAAGCCUGACGGAGCAAGACCGCGUGGGGGAGGAAGGCCCUUGGGUUGUAAACCCCUUUUCUCAGGGAAGAAAAAAAUGACGGUACCUGAGGAAUCAGCCUCGGCUAACUCCGUGCCAGCAGCCGCGGUAAUACGGAGGAGGCAAGCGUUAUCCGGAAUCAUUGGGCGUAAAGCGUCCGCAGGUGGCUAAUCAAGUCCGCGGUUAAAGACCGGAGCUCAACUCCGGAAAAGCCGUAGAAACUGAAAAGCUAGAGGUCGGUAGGGGUAGCGGGAAUUCCCAGUGUAGCGGUGAAAUGCGUAGAGAUUGGGAAGAACAUCGGUGGCGAAAGCGCGCUACUGGGCCGAACCUGACACUGAGGGACGAAAGCUAGGGGAGCGAAAGGGAUUAGAUACCCUAGUAGUC
RNAcentral lists this ribosomal RNA (443 nucleotides) under uncultured bacterium. RNAcentral's name for it is "bacterial SSU rRNA". It matches the Rfam family "Bacterial small subunit ribosomal RNA", at positions 338 to 795 of the family's 1533-position model. The record is from RNAcentral.